This 494-nucleotide ribosomal RNA is filed under the name uncultured bacterium. Its description in RNAcentral is "partial 16S ribosomal RNA". It matches the Rfam family "Bacterial small subunit ribosomal RNA", at positions 28 to 506 of the family's 1533-position model. The record is from RNAcentral.
GACGAACGCUGGCGGCGUGCCUAAUACAUGCAAGUAGAACGCUGAAGGAGGAGCUUGCUUCUCUGGAUGAGUUGCGAACGGGUGAGUAACGCGUAGGUAACCUGCCUGGUAGCGGGGGAUAACUAUUGGAAACGAUAGCUAAUACCGCAUAAUAGUAGAUGUUGCAUGACAUUUGCCUAAAAGGUGCAAUUGCAUCACUACCAGAUGGACCUGCGUUGUAUUAGCUAGUUGGUGGGGUAACGGCUCACCAAGGCGACGAUACAUAGCCGACCUGAGAGGGUGAUCGGCCACACUGGGACUGAGACACGGCCCAGACUCCUACGGGAGGCAGCAGUAGGGAAUCUUCGGCAAUGGACGGAAGUCUGACCGAGCAACGCCGCGUGAGUGAAGAAGGUUUUCGGAUCGUAAAGCUCUGUUGUAAGAGAAGAACGAGUGUGAGAGUGGAAAGUUCACACUGUGACGGUAUCUUACCAGAAAGGGACGGCUAACUACGU